CUAGCUGCUCCCCUUGUCUCCCAAGAUCAUUGAGAGGACCAGAUGAGACAAUACAUGUGAAAUAGGUGAAAGCAGCAACAGAAGGACUGGAAGCUGAAGACAUUCUGCAGAUGGGAGAACCAUUUCUGCAAAUGACUCCCUUGCAGAAGUUCAGAUGUGCAAAUCAGAGAGCUCAAUGGCCCAGAUGGAAGUAGUGGAAAGAAGACCCUGAGCCUCACUCAUCAUCAUCUUUGCUCCCUCCACCUGCGCAUCCUCCUUGUUGCCUGAUGCAUGUCCAGAAACGCCUGUGAAGAAUCCCUAGUGCUCCUUUGAGCAUGGUUUCAGAAUAAUCAGCCUCAUCAUUUUGUAGAUGAGGAAUCAAACCCAGAGGAAAGAAUUGACUUGUCUGGAGUAGAAUCAGGACUAGAAUCUAUCUCUCCCAAUUCCUAGCCAAAACAUUUUUUUAAACCAUGUUAUGCUAUCCCACUGCUUGUGAAACUAAAAUCAAUUGCCCUCAAUAAAAGUCUCUAAGAA
This is a long non-coding RNA of Phacochoerus africanus (Common warthog), 513 nucleotides long. RefSeq lists it as uncharacterized. The record is from RefSeq and is a predicted model, not a curated record. The transcript is spliced from 3 exons. NCBI's taxonomy places the organism in Eukaryota, Metazoa, Chordata, Mammalia, Artiodactyla, Suidae.